UGUGGCACUCCUGUGACUCCAUACAGGUGUGUGUAGAGGAGGAACUUUCUCUCCCUUGUCUUUGUCACUGUUCUCCCGUCAUCUCUUUGACAAACACACAAAGAUGAAAACCCAGGAAUGCGGCAACCAUCAUCCACAGAGGGAACAUGGACAUCUAAAGAUGGUAAAUUAAAAUGGUAAACAACACUGUGGAUGUGUUUGCUUACAGUGACUAUGUCCUGUGGACUGAAAUCAACCAGCAAUAGAAUGCCAACAAAUUGUACCAAAGUCGGCGUUUCCUGGAAGAACUGGGUAAACCAUUUGUCAUUCCCAAGGUCCAGAGGCGAGCCAGGCCAGCUCGAUCCCCAGCAACUGCAGCCGGCAUUGAAAAGGUCAAGCUCACAUCAUCCAACCAAUCUGCAAUGGAUCCAGCGGACACGGGUGUAAAGAAAUGGAAAAGAUGCCAGGUCUGUCCCUCCAGAGAGGACUGUAAAAUAAGUACUGUACCUCUUGUGUGAAAUGCAAGAAUUACAUCAGCACAAAGCACACAGUUACAUUCUGUCCAUCGUGUGGAGAACACUGAAAAUUCUGAACACGGAAAAUCUGAGCAAAUACUACAAGUUAAAUGAAAAAAAACAAACGUGAAGUGGGAAAAACUUUAAAUAGAUCUUAAAUAUGGUGUUGGAAUUAAAAAUGGAUUGUAUGCUUCUUUUCUAAAUGUUUAUAUCAUCUAAAACAAAGUUCUUAUUGGUUUAA
Molecule: long non-coding RNA, 735 nt
Organism: Acanthochromis polyacanthus (spiny chromis)
Lineage: Eukaryota; Metazoa; Chordata; Actinopteri; Pomacentridae
Exons: 2
Source: RefSeq, a predicted model, not a curated record